This is a small RNA of Azorhizobium caulinodans ORS 571, 52 nucleotides long. It matches the Rfam family "ffh sRNA". The record is from Rfam. NCBI's taxonomy places the organism in Bacteria, Pseudomonadati, Pseudomonadota, Alphaproteobacteria, Hyphomicrobiales, Xanthobacteraceae.
GGGUCCGGAGGUCACCGCCCGACAGCGCGUUGCGCCCUCGGGCGCGUUUCUC